GACGAACGCUGGCGGCGUGCCUAAUACAUGCAAGUCGAGCGCACGAGCUUGGUACUUGUUCCGACGGUGUGAGCAGCGGACGGGUGAGUAACACGUGGAUAAUCUGCCUUUGAGCGUGGGACAACUUUUGGAAACGAAUGCUAAUACCGCAUAAAAACUUUAAACACAAGUUUUAAGAGUGAAAGAUGCAAUUGCAUCACCCAAUGAUUAUCCCCCGUUUUAUUAGCUUAGUGGUGAGGUAAAGGCUCAACAAGGCGAUGAUAGAUAACCGGCCCGGGAGGGUGAUCGGCCACAUUGGGAACGGGACCAGGCUCCAACUUCCACGGGAGGGAGCAGUAGGGGAUCUUCGGCAAUGGACGAAAGUCUGACCGAGCCAAGCCGGGUGAGUGAAGAAGGUUUUCCGAUUGUAAAAAUCUGUUGGUAGGGAAGAACGAUAGUGAGAGUGGAAUGCUCACAAAGUGACGGUACCUAACCAGAAAGCGACGGCUAACUACGUG
Molecule: ribosomal RNA, 497 nt
Filed under: uncultured bacterium
Lineage: Bacteria
Description: partial 16S ribosomal RNA
Rfam family: Bacterial small subunit ribosomal RNA
Source: RNAcentral